GGUGCUUGCAUCAUGAUUUACAUUUGAGUGAGUGGCGAACUGGUGAGUAACACGUGGGAAACCUGCCCAGAAGCGGGGGAUAACACCUGGAAACAGAUGCUAAUACCGCAUAACAACUUGGACCGCAUGGUCCGAGUUUGAAAGAUGGCUUCGGCUAUCACUUUUGGAUGGUCCCGCGGCGUAUUAGCUAGAUGGUGGGGUAACGGCUCACCAUGGCAAUGAUACGUAGCCGACCUGAGAGGGUAAUCGGCCACAUUGGGACUGAGACACGGCCCAAACUCCUACGGGAGGCAGCAGUAGGGAAUCUUCCACAAUGGACGAAAGUCUGAUGGAGCAACGCCGCGUGAGUGAAGAAGGGUUUCGGCUCGUAAAACUCUGUUGUUAAAGAAGAACAUAUCUGAGAGUAACUGUUCAGGUAUUGACGGUAUUUAACCAGAAAGCCACGGCUAACUACGUGCCAGCAGCCGCGGUAAUACGUAGGUGGCAAGCGUUGUCCGGAUUUAUUGGGCGUAAAGCGAGCGCAGGCGGUUUUUUAAGUCUGAUGUGAAAGCCUUCGGCUCAACCGAAGAAGUGCAUCGGAAACUGGGAAACUUGAGUGCAGAAGAGGACAGUGGAACUCCAUGUGUAGCGGUGAAAUGCGUAGAUAUAUGGAAGAACACCAGUGGCGAAGGCGGCUGUCUGGUCUGUAACUGACGCUGAGGCUCGAAAGUAUGGGUAGCAAACAGGAUUAGAUACCCUGGUAGUCCAUACCGUAAACGAUGAAUGCUAAGUGUUGGAGGGUUUCCGCCCUUCAGUGCUGCAGCUAACGCAUUAAGCAUUCCGCCUGGGGGAGUACGGCCGCAAGGCUGAAACUCAAAGGAAUUGACGGGGGGCCCGCACAAGCGGUGGAGCAUGUGGUUUAAUUCGAAGCUACGCGAAGAACCUUACCAGGUCUUGACAUACUAUGC
Molecule: ribosomal RNA, 947 nt
Filed under: Lactiplantibacillus plantarum
Lineage: Bacteria; Bacillati; Bacillota; Bacilli; Lactobacillales; Lactobacillaceae
Description: bacterial SSU rRNA
Rfam family: Bacterial small subunit ribosomal RNA
Source: RNAcentral